This 145-nucleotide microRNA precursor is filed under the name Gossypium arboreum. RNAcentral describes it as "MIR7502 microRNA precursor family". It matches the Rfam family "MIR7502 microRNA precursor family". The record is from Rfam by way of RNAcentral. Lineage: Eukaryota; Viridiplantae; Streptophyta; Magnoliopsida; Malvales; Malvaceae.
UAUUAAAAAUUUCAUUCAUUUGUAUUGUUAAAAAUUAGCGUAGUUGACGAAAUGACAAGAUAGUGACAUGAACAUGCCAUAUGUACCUCAUGUUAAUGUAUAGGGAUUAGUUUUUAAUAGCAAAAAUGGAUGGAAUUCUUUAACA